UGCUAGUGAGUCAAUCAUGAGUACGUGUUUAGCCAGAGAAUCCUACUUGGAUUCUAGAGCAAAGUAUUUUCCUUAGGAAUUGAGAUUUGUAGAGUGUUAGGUAACUCCCAAGUGUGUGAGAUAGAGUUGAGAACCUCGCGGUGGUUCUACUCUUGGCAGGUCAUUUCUUCCUCAAAUUGGUACCACUAAGCCGGUCGUGGUCCGGAAAGUGGUGGGCUCAGUUUAGCUUGGUCGAUCACCAAGGCCGAGUGUCACACGUGGAUGUGACAGCCCCCGGCGAGUCCGAUCGAGGAUCAGGGCAAGACGAUUCCGAUUGAGGACCGUGACCGGGUGAUUCCCGAGCGCCUACCCCUGUGUGGUGUAAUAGUGAAGGGAUUGCCGGUGUCCCUUGUGUGGAGGAAGAAUGAUUUUGUUGGGCCCAAUUAGAGUGUCGUGUAGAAUAGAGGGUUGUGAAACCCUAGAGUGAGUGGUAACACCGAAAUACAGUGUUAAGAGUUAGACUCGAGUCAUAGUUAAUUAGUUUCUGGUUAUUGUGAAUGGUGUGAUUAAAUUAAAGAUUGGUUGCUGACUUGUUAU
Molecule: long non-coding RNA, 576 nt
Filed under: Brassica napus (rape)
Lineage: Eukaryota; Viridiplantae; Streptophyta; Magnoliopsida; Brassicales; Brassicaceae
Description: long non-coding RNA (BNAP_LNC009833)
Source: RNAcentral